UUGAAAUAAACUGAUAGGUUGUUGCUGGUUCUCUAGGGAACAUGUGCACACUUGUCAUCUUUAUAUCUCCACCUGUGCACCUUUUGUAGACCUGGAUAUCUCUCUGAGUGCUUGCACUCAGGUUUGAGGAUUGACUUUUUUGUCUCUUCUUACAUUUCCAGGUCUAUGUGUCUUCAUAUACUCUAAUGUAUGUUAUAGAAUGUAAUAAAUGGGCCUUUGUGCCUAUAAACCUAUA
RNAcentral lists this unclassified non-coding RNA (235 nucleotides) under uncultured Cortinarius. RNAcentral's name for it is "sequence contains ITS1". The record is from RNAcentral. Lineage: Eukaryota; Fungi; Basidiomycota; Agaricomycetes; Agaricales; Cortinariaceae.